GAAUUAUUAAGCCAAAUAAAAUCCUUAUUUAAUAGUCCUUGUAGUUGCUUUUUCAAUUCCACUUACUCAAAUGAUGUCAUUCUGUAAAGAGCCUUAGAUAUUGGGAUUGUCCCAAAGACCAAAUCAAAAGCAAAAUCACGUUUUGGAGGUAAUUCAGGCAAAUCAUUUUGGGAUACAUUAGGCAAGGAGAUAAAUCAUAUCCAAUACCCUCAAAAUAAAAGAUCGAUUGAUCAAAUAUGCAAAAAGUGAUCAUUUGUUAUAUACCAAUCCAUACUGGUAUGAUAGGAAGAUAGUCAAUCCAUACCAAGUAUAAUAUCAAAACUCCAAAUCUCUAGGAGAACUAAAUCAACAAAAGUUCAAGUUCUCCAAUAAAAAUCAGACAAGAGGACCAUAUUCAAGUUCGUUAUCAAAGAAUCUCCAAUGAUUGUAUUUACAUAUAUCACAUAAUACAAUGGUCUAGGUUGAAUACCCAAGUGAUAAGCAAAAUAUUACAAAUCAAAUCGUAGAUAGGACCCAUGGUCAAACAAAUAUUUAUAUUCUUUCAUAAACAUGCAUAAUACCUUCGAUCACUAAUUCAAAAGUUUUAGAAUCAUGUUCAGUAAUAGCAUACACUCUGACUUGGGUUGAUGGUUUAUGAUGUAGUGACUCUUUUUUCUUGUUCAAAGGGUAGUCUUUUAUUUCAUGAUCCAACUUUCUACAAGCAAAAUAGACUCCAGUCACCCGAAACACAAAUUUGUUUCAUAAUUUAACUUAUAAUUCACACAUGAUUGAGUCUUUUGUGGUGACUUCCCAUUUCAAAUCCAAAGGUCUUGAACCUCUUAUUAUUACUUUCUGAUUCAUUUCUAAUCAUAUUUUUAUUGCUAAACUUAUCCUUAUAAUUCUUGCCACAUAUCUCCAAAAAUUCUUUUCAUUGUUGCCAAUAAUAAUCAGCCUCUACUUCCAAUAUAAGGUAGCAAAAGAAAUCUUUUGAUCAUUAGAACAAUUUUGUAUAUCAAAUAUCUUCUCCAUUUGCAUCAUCCAUUUUUCUACCACCAAUGAAAUUAAGUUCAUCAUGCUUCUGCUGCGCCACACUGAUUCAAUAUCCCCAUUCAAUCCUUUCAUUCCCCUUAAUUAAUCAGAAACAAAUGAAAUAGGAGGACCAAAUGUCCCUAUCAUCCCAGAUUCCUAAAAUGCAUCAAAGAAAAUUUCCACCAAUCACUAUAGUUCAUUAGACCUCAAUAUAUUUUGCACGUCAACAUAUCAAAUAUUUUAGUAAUCCUCAAACAAUGCUCUGAUACCAACUCUGUCACG
Molecule: long non-coding RNA, 1290 nt
Filed under: Musa acuminata (dwarf banana)
Lineage: Eukaryota; Viridiplantae; Streptophyta; Magnoliopsida; Zingiberales; Musaceae
Description: long non-coding RNA (MACU_LNC010557)
Source: RNAcentral